UCUGACCGAGCGAUGCCGCGUGAGUGAAGAAGGUCUUCGGAUUGUAAAGCUCUGUGAUUAGGGAAGAAGGCUAUUAGGAGGGAAUGCCUAAUAGGUGACGGUACCUAAUUAGAAAGCCACGGCUAACUACGUGCCAGCAGCCGCGGUAAUUA
Molecule: ribosomal RNA, 152 nt
Filed under: uncultured Bacillota bacterium
Lineage: Bacteria; Bacillati; Bacillota
Description: uncultured Firmicutes bacterium partial 16S ribosomal RNA
Rfam family: Bacterial small subunit ribosomal RNA
Source: RNAcentral